This 76-nucleotide transfer RNA is filed under the name Povalibacter uvarum. RNAcentral describes it as "tRNA-Gly". It matches the Rfam family "tRNA". From Rfam's summary of the family: Transfer RNA (tRNA) molecules are approximately 80 nucleotides in length. Their secondary structure includes four short double-helical elements and three loops (D, anti-codon, and T loops). Further hydrogen bonds mediate the characteristic L-shaped molecular structure. tRNAs have two regions of fundamental functional importance: the anti-codon, which is responsible for specific mRNA codon recognition, and the 3' end, to which the tRNAs corresponding amino acid is attached (by aminoacyl-tRNA synthetases). tRNAs cope with the degeneracy of the genetic code in two manners: having more than one tRNA (with a specific anti-codon) for a particular amino acid; and 'wobble' base-pairing, i.e. permitting non-standard base-pairing at the 3rd anti-codon position. The record is from RNAcentral. Lineage: Bacteria; Pseudomonadati; Pseudomonadota; Gammaproteobacteria; Steroidobacterales; Steroidobacteraceae.
GCGGAGGUAGCUCAAUUGGCAGAGCGCGAGUCUUCCAAACUCGAGGCUAUGGGUUCGAUUCCCAUCUUCCGCCCCA